Molecule: long non-coding RNA, 255 nt
Organism: Haliotis rufescens (red abalone)
Lineage: Eukaryota; Metazoa; Mollusca; Gastropoda; Lepetellida; Haliotidae
Exons: 3
Source: RefSeq, a predicted model, not a curated record
AACGACUUCGGGUGACCACCAAGGAAUAGUUGAUGGACAAACGCUGGACAGAGAAAACAGAAUAAUGGACAUCUUGUUCAGACUCCUGCAUGGUGAUGAGGAAGACAAGUAUGUUGUUUGUACACUGGCUGACGCCGCCGAGACGUCUCAGAUCUCCUUAGAAGACAUCAGCACAUCCAAGUAUCAAGACAAACACACCAUCAGACGGCGCUCUAUCGACUGCAGACAAGACGCCCGCUACCGGACAAUGGACGG